GACGAACGCUGGCGGCGUGCUUAACACAUGCAAGUCGAACGGAAAGGCCCUGCUUUUGUGCGGUGCUCGAGUGGCGAACGGGUGAGUAACACGUGAGUAACCUGCCCUUGACUUUGGGAUAACUUCAGGAAACUGGGGCUAAUACCGGAUAGGAUCUCCUGCUGCAUGGUGGGGGUUGGAAAGUUUCGGCGGUUGGGGAUGGACUCGCGGCUUAUCAGCUUGUUGGUUGGGUAGUGGCUUACCAAGGCUUUGACGGGUAGCCGGCCUGAGAGGGUGACCGGCCACAUGGGGACUGAGAUACGGACCAGACUCGUACGGGAGGCAGCAGUGGGGAAUAUUGCACAAUGGGCGGAAGCGUGAUGCAGCAACGCCGCGUGCGGGAUGACGGCCUUCGGGUUGUAAACAGCUUUCGCCUGUGACGAAGCGUGAGUGACGGUAAUGAGUAAAGAAGCACCGGCUAACUACGUG
This 468-nucleotide ribosomal RNA is filed under the name uncultured bacterium. RNAcentral describes it as "partial 16S ribosomal RNA". It matches the Rfam family "Bacterial small subunit ribosomal RNA", at positions 28 to 507 of the family's 1533-position model. The record is from RNAcentral.